UGAGCUGCUAGAGAGAGCGAGAGAGCAGUUUUCCACUGACGUGGACCAAUCAGAUUAAAGAACACACAACCGCAUGAAAGAGCUUCAGCAGCACGAGCCGCUCAGCACCAGUGUCUGAGAUGGAGACAUCAAGAGUCGCUCUCAUCGCUCUCGUGUGUGUUGUGUUCUCCAGUCAGAAGAGGAUCUCUGGAGCAGAAGUGGAGAUGAGAGUCAGACGAGGAGACGACGUCACUCUCUACUGCGACUGUGCAACACACACGAUCUGCUGAUUAAGAACGUCACAGAAGCAGAUCAGGGCCUGUACUACUGCGCUCUACAUGAGACAAAUAUUUCAAAGGAUAAAAACGGCGUCAUCAUCGACAGGGACGUGUAUCA
Pangasianodon hypophthalmus (striped catfish) is the source of this 375-nucleotide long non-coding RNA. RefSeq lists it as uncharacterized. Lineage: Eukaryota; Metazoa; Chordata; Actinopteri; Siluriformes; Pangasiidae. The transcript is spliced from 3 exons. The record is from RefSeq and is a predicted model, not a curated record.